GUGAGGUAACGGCUCACCAAGGCUAUGACGGGUAGCUGGUCUGAGAGGACGAUCAGCCACACUGGGACUGAGACACGGCCCAGACUCCUACGGGAGGCAGCAGCAGGGAAUAUUGCACAAUGGGCGAAAGCCUGAUGCAGCGACGCCGCGUGAGGGAUGACGGCCUUCGGGUUGUAAACCUCUUUCAGGAGGGACGAAGCGAAAGUGACGGUACCUCCAGAAGAAGCCCCGGCCAACUACGUGCCAGCAGCCGCGGUAAUACGUAGGGGGCGAGCGUUGUCCGGAUUCAUUGGGCGUAAAGAGCUCGUAGGCGGCUCAGCAAGUCGGCCGUGAAAGCCCGAGGCUCAACCUCGGGACGCCGGUCGAAACUGCUGUGGCUAGGGUCCGGUAGAGGAGAGUGGAAUUCCCGGUGUAGCGGUGAAAUGCGCAGAUAUCGGGAGGAACACCAGUAGCGAAGGCGGCUCUCUGGGCCGGUACCGACGCUGAGGAGCGAAAGCUAGGGGAGCAAACAGGAUUAGAUACCCUGGUAGUCCUAGCCGUAAACGUUGGGCACUAGGUGUGGCGGAUUCAUUGAUGUCUGCCGUGCCGUAGCUAACGCAUCAAGUG
This 606-nucleotide ribosomal RNA is filed under the name uncultured Actinobacteridae bacterium. Its description in RNAcentral is "bacterial SSU rRNA". It matches the Rfam family "Bacterial small subunit ribosomal RNA", at positions 252 to 866 of the family's 1533-position model. Lineage: Bacteria; Bacillati; Actinomycetota; Actinomycetes. The record is from RNAcentral.